This is an RNA transcript of Varroa destructor (honeybee mite), 5338 nucleotides long. It is a transcript of the gene named protein O-mannosyl-transferase TMTC1-like, with no coding region annotated. The record is from RefSeq and is a predicted model, not a curated record. Lineage: Eukaryota; Metazoa; Arthropoda; Arachnida; Mesostigmata; Varroidae.
UGUGUUUUGUGAAGUAGGACUCACGUGUGCCGUUCGUGACAAAAAAAUUCGUUCGUGGUGCAAUCAUCGAUUCUUCGUCGUCACACUAUUUAUUCGCUAUUACCUGUUGCUGUCACUGAGAAUAUUUCACAUGGAUAUGUGUGCUUCUCACGAGCAUUGCUUGUAUUAAUGUUAUUUCUCUUGUGUGCAAUUGGGUUAGAAGGCAACGAGUGAAGCAAAAAGGGCCGCCGAGGCUUGGACUGGGCAGAAAAAGAUUAGUGAGCUAUGAGAUGAAUUUGUGACCGUCGAACUAAUAAUCUUUGUUAAUCGUUGGCGAAAAGAGGACAGAAUGCGACCCCGGUGGUCGACAAGAGACCCAGGUGACUGGAAUGCCAUGGCCUGGAGCGUAGUAGCGGCGACCGCUAUCACCCUUAUCUGUUUCUGCGUUGAUUUCUUUGGAGCGGCUGAUGAAAGUGAAGAUUAUAUAUCUUCUAGAGAAAUUACGGCUAGAUCUAACUCCGGUUUUUUUUCGCCCCGUUCAUGGCUGGGUGGGGCGGCCCUCGACGGCGAUUUAGUGCAUGAUGACAUCGUAGCAAUUGUGCGAAAUCCCGAUGUCGUCGGAUGCGGAUCGGGAUCAGUAGUUGCAAACAGUGGUGAGAAUCGAGUUGAGGCUACAAUCAGUGGCGGGAUUAUUGCAUCAAGAGUGGAAUCGUCGACUGCUCCUAUCGGUGAUGUCGGAGGAACAAGUGCUGCCGCGUGCCCAUGGUUUUCAUGGACGAUAUGGACGAACGACUUUUGGGGAACGCCAAUGUCGAGUACGGAAUCGCACAAAAGCUACCGACCACUCACCGUACUCACUUUCAGGUUGAACUAUUUAUAUGGAGGCCUGUCACACACCCGGAGCUAUCAUGUGGUAAACAUACUACUACACUGGCUUUGUUGCAUUCUGUUAGGGGAGCUGGCCAGCCGACUUUUUUGCUCAACUUCAGUGGAACGAACUUCGAGAAGUACCCGGUCCGAAAGCCUGGGAUCAUUCAGCUUCGGAGCGAACCCUGUUGGCCGACGAAAUGAUCAGCAGUACUUUAGCACCGCACUUGGAUUACGCGUCGCCGUUAUAUUGAUCUUUGGAGGCCAGCCAGUUCACACUGAAGCGGUGACAUCGAUUGUGGGUCGGGCCGAUCUUCUUUGCGGUGUUUUCUAUCUGCUGGCGUUAUUAACGUUCAUGUCUUCAUGUGAUAAUGACGAACCACAUUUUGCCCCGGUACAGGAUCAGUUGAUUACCACCGAUGGACUAAUGUUUCAAUAUGACGCCUCUAAUAACGUCACAACAGCUAGAGUCAUACGGAAGACCAGCGAAUCGCAGCAGAUCAUGCAGUUAACUAGACUAAAGUUGUGGCUUUCAAUGGUGUUUGCUAUACUGGCGUUACUUAGCAAAGAACAAGGUCUUACAGUUUUCGGCUUAUUCAUCAUCUAUAGAUUGAGGAUACUAUGCAAGCGAUCUGAUUCCAGUUUUCACUGUUCAGCGCGCGUUACAGGUCAAAGGCGUCUGGGUCUCAUGGCUUUAUCUCCAUCGUUGUCUCGACCCAAUCGGCCAACGCAAUGGGUUGCAGCGGACGAAUACCUUCAGGUUUCACUAGCCGUUCUUGCAGGACUGGUGGCGUUUCGCGUAGCCAUGCUGGGCGGCAGUCUACCCCGAUUCUCAGAGCACGACAAUCCCGCGUCGCAUCAUCCUCAUUUAUUGACCAGGGCACUGACGUAUGGCUACCUGGCGGUAAUGAACGUGGGAAUCGUGAUGUGGCCACAGGUGCUGUCCUACGAUUGGCAGAUGGGCUCGGUACCCCUUGUGCACUCGUUAAGAGAUGGCCGUAAUUUGGCCACUUUGCUUCUUGUGGUAGCCGUUGCGGAGCUUGUCCGGCGUAGUCUUAACAGUGACUUUCGGGCGCUUAUAUCUGGACCACCCAUUUCGACUGUAAAAGAAAGCCUUGACCCGUAUAGUCCUCAUCGUCAACACAAUGACGUGCGAAGGCUCACGGGAAUUCGUGCUGAAGCACAAGGGGACAUCAACGAAGCAGCUGGUGGUCUUGACGACGACGGGGGAAACAGUGCUAGCAGAAGUCCUGUGUUGUUAAUGAGCGUCGCGCUGAUAAUUCUGCCUUGGUUGCCAGCGUCCAACCUGCUGGUGACAGUCGGCUUCGUCUUAGCCGAACGCGUACUCUAUAUCCCCAGCAUGGGCUUCUGCCUUUUGCUGGUUGAGGGACUCAGGCGGUUGUUCGCGGCUAUGCGAGACAGUAGUGCCAGACCAGCUAGUGGCUCAACACCAUUGUUUUCCUGGAAUCGCCAUCAGAAAAUUGUACUAGUUUCACUCUUGCUUCUGAUCACAUUGAACGCGAUACGUACGGUGCGGCGGAACCGUGUUUGGAUGACCCGGGAAACCCUAUUCGAAUCUGGAGUCCGCGACCUGCCUUCGAACUGCAAAAUGCAUUAUAACUAUGCCAACCUCAUGCGUGACCUUAGGCGUAAUGAGAAAGCCGCUCUUCACUAUAACACGGCUAUCGAGCAAUGCCCAACUCACGCAUCGGCUUAUAACAAUCUCGGAACAGUUGUCGAGUCCCAGGCUGAAGCCGAAAAACAUUUUAGACGGGCGAUCAACAUCAACCUUCAUCAUGCCGGAGCCCACUACAAUCUCGCCAUGCUUUACCGUCGGAAGGGACAAAUAGAAGUGGCGCGUGGACUCCUGGAACGCUCUCUAGCGUUGGACGCGUCCCUUGCGGAGGCGGCCUCAUCGCUAGCAGAGCUUGAAAGACAACAGGGCCGCACCAGCAAAGCUGAGACUCUACAUCGUCGCGCCAUUAAACUCAAUAGCCGUUCUGCGCCCAUUAGGAAUAAUUACGCCACUUUUCUGCAUGACCAAGGUCGCGUCCUUGAGGCCUCCGAACAAUUUAAGCAGGCCAUCGCACUCGAGCCAGACAACACUGUGGCUGUACAAAACGCCGCUGAGGUCAUGCGUGAGUUAUCUGUCGAUCAUGAAGCUGAGAGUCUUUAUAAAAGGGCCCUGUUGUUGAAUUCUGACGACGUGUCAAUUAUGGAUCAACUCGCAGUUCUUUACUUCAAAACUGACCGUCUUCACGAAGCCGAAGAGCUCUUCAACCGAAUACAGCAAACGCAGCCUUACCAUCGUGAAAGUCGCUUGCAUUACGCGCAAAUGCUUCUGUCACGUGGAGAUACAACAAACGCUGAACAUGUUCUCACCGAAACUUUAGAAAAGACCGGCGAGGGUUGGCGUGAUGGACUUCGUCAGAUGGCUUUGCUGUGCAGUUAUACAAAUCGGAGCCUCGAGGCAGCCGUAUGGAUCAGAAAAGCGUUACAGCUUUGCCCGACGGAAGGUGUUCGUGAGUGUGCACCGCUUCAUGCUGAUUAUGGGGAUAUUCUUAAGGAUCUCAGUCAUCUAAACCGAUCCGCCGAGUGUUAUACAGAAGCGAUAAAACUUCAGCCUGAUCUUGCCCACGCUCAUAUCAACCUCGGGGUCAUCCGACAUCUUCAGGGUGACUAUUCGUCGGCGUUUCAUCAUUAUACUGUUGCCUAUACGUUGGAGCCCACGAACACGCUUGUCAUCGAGAACAUGGAAAAACUUCGAAAACGAAUUCUCAAAUCGUUCCGACAGCAUCGAACGGUCAUCGAUGCAGCGUUCGAAAUGAGCUGAGAUAAUCGGCUGGGUACGGGAUCGGCCUUCCUAAUCCUAGCGCUCUCAGCGACAGCAGUGAAAACCUCCUACUCUCGACGCUUUUCCUACCAAAGAGGAUCACGUCUGUUUCCUGGAUCACCAAGAACCGAUACAUUUGCAAGCAUUCGAACGGCAAAAGGGGAAACGAUUAGGAAAGCUGUCCUGCUAUUAGAACGGGUGGUCUAAUUGACGUUUCGAUUAGUGGGUUACUAUCUACAAAAGGUGAGUAAAAAAGAUCAGUUACGUUUAAAUGGUGUUCUUAAGACGAAGAGAUUAGUUGGAUUAUCAAUUAUACAUGUAGAAAGACAAAUAUUUUAAUCAAUAUGUGCCCGGACGAAGCCGACAAGUUACUUAGUGCCUACAAUCUACGCCAGCUUAGUUAUUCGACAGAAGCCGAUAAGCCAUUUAAAUGGGUCAGUACUUCGUGACCCGAAAUUCCUUUGCCAUCCGAUUUGAUUACUACUUAUCGUAGAUCCAUUUAAAUGGAGGUGAGAAGUAAAACAAGAUAAAUUUGUCAAAUAUUUAUGUGCGCAGAACUUCUGCAAACAUGUCUUCGUAACACGCUUACCUUUUGAUUUGCCUCACCUAGCCACGCGCAAGCCAUUAUCCACGAGCUAUCUCCGAUUGACGAGCGUACAUAGCAUCAACGAAUAUGUGGAUGGGACUAAUUAUAAUUGAGUGAAGCUUAGUUUUGAAAAACAAAACGCAUCUAAAUAUGUCCGGCUUCGACUACAAACUAUGAAAUUUCCGACAGUUUUGGAGGUACGCAACAAAGCGGAAAACGACCAUUUUCCGGAUCACUGUCAGCAAUCUGGCUCAAUAAGCUACAUGCCCUACAUUCCUGCCUAAAAACCGGACGUAAUAUUCCGGCGUAAUAACUACGGCAACGACGAGGUCGAUUUAUUUGGCUUAAUUAUCUAUUGGAAUAUAGUAUCGUUCUCAGGAGCGUUUCACUCUUAUUUAACACAAACGUAUUUGAUCUACAUCUCGAAUACAUUUACAUCAAAUAAAUACUACAAAUAUCUAUCUUAGAUAUUUGCUCGUUUCGGCCCUUAGUUAUAAUAGGCUCAUGGUGAGCUGAUCGCGACCGCGCAAGGCAAAGGAUAACUGGGCCUGGAUUAGCUACACGGAAAAUUGGACAAGUGGAACUGCAACAGAACUACAGCGAAAUGUGAAGCCACAUAAUUUUGUAUUUUACUGUGAUAAGCAAUGCAAGAUCUGUACAUUAAGGAAUAAACACAAGAUUGUGUACAUAUACACACAAGCACAUAUAUAUGAAGAAAUCUCUAUAUGUAUGAUCAUAAAAUAGAAAGGGAUAAACAAAUAAGAGCGAGAGCGAAAGAUACGAACUUAACGUAAACAGACAAGCAAAUAAAAUUGAAAAAGUCUAAUAGAUAUACAUGAAGUAGAGGUAGAUAUGAGCGAGCCGUGGAUGAUUGAUGAAUCCAUAACGUUUUUGAGUAACAGUGAAGAAGAGCUGCGACAAAAGAACUGUAUACCAAAUGAAAUAUGAUGCACAGAAAAAAAAAAAGACAAAUUAACUAAACGAUGUAUGGAAACGUGAAAGAUGUAUUACUGAUAAAAUCAUUAACCGUGUAGUAAAACUAUGACAAAAUAAAAGAUAAAUCUAUUUUUACA